This is a long non-coding RNA of Zingiber officinale, 563 nucleotides long. RefSeq lists it as uncharacterized. Lineage: Eukaryota; Viridiplantae; Streptophyta; Magnoliopsida; Zingiberales; Zingiberaceae. The record is from RefSeq and is a predicted model, not a curated record. The transcript has 4 exons.
AGCCCCUCUCAGCUUUUCUAUUUGAUCUAUUCAUUGGAGGGGGUUGCGAAUCGUCUCCAGUUGAGGUGGAUCGCGCGGAUCGAUUGAGAGGAAACAGAGGAUCCGCGUGCUGUGGGCGUUUCCUAUUGCCGGUCACUGCCCUCUCCACUUCUUGAAGUUGUGGAGGGUUGCUGCUCGGGUUCACCAUUGGAUAGAUCACCAAUGUCGGCAGAGGUCAGUAGCCCUUGUUCUUCACAGUGCAUUUGGAGGGGAAGUUGCUACGAAUCUGGAUUUGGGCUCCAGCAGUGAUUUCCUUCAGCAACAAAUCAUGAUCUGGAGCAUCUGGAUUGAGCUUCUUGGCAGUGAGCAUCACACCUGUGGCUUCCAACAGUGGGUUGCUCGGAUCGCAAGCUAACAGUGGAGUGCAAUGGAAUUGGGAUUUUGGAUAUGGGACGAUCAUCACGAUGUGUGAUUUAUUUUAUCACGAUUGACAGAUUUAAGGCGGGUAUUUCUUCCUUGGCUCUAUGUAGAUUUUUAUUGAGCUUAGUGCAUGGUUUUCUUUGAUGGAUUAGGUUGUUUUACCU